RNAcentral lists this non-coding RNA (45 nucleotides) under Schistosoma mansoni. The record is from RNAcentral. Lineage: Eukaryota; Metazoa; Platyhelminthes; Trematoda; Strigeidida; Schistosomatidae.
AUCCAACUGACGAGUUCAAAAUAUGACGAAACGCAUGUCCUGGAU